UACGGAGGGUGCAAGCGUUAUCCGGAAUCAUUGGGUUUAAAGGGUCCGCAGGCGGGCUUAUAAGUCAGUGGUGAAAGCCUACAGCUCAACUGUAGAACUGCCAUUGAUACUGUAAGUCUUGAAUUCGGUCGAAGUGGGCGGAAUAUGACAUGUAGCGGUGAAAUGCUUAGAUAUGUCAUAGAACACCGAUAGCGAAGGCAGCUCACUAGGCCUGGAUUGACGCUCAGGGACGAAAGCGUGGGGAUCAAAC
RNAcentral lists this ribosomal RNA (250 nucleotides) under uncultured bacterium. RNAcentral describes it as "partial 16S ribosomal RNA". It matches the Rfam family "Bacterial small subunit ribosomal RNA", at positions 524 to 773 of the family's 1533-position model. The record is from RNAcentral.